AUCUUAACCAUCUCAUCCAAUACCUUCUCAGAUGCCACCUCAGAGAAUACCUUCUCACAAUUCAGAGUACAUGCCUCCAGCAAGUCCAGACUCAGCCUCUGGCUCACCGAAUUCUUACCUGAAAUCUUCUUUUUUAUGGCACGAACAAUCUCGGUCCCAUUAAACUCUUCACAGUUGAUCAUUGCGCAUAUCCUCAAAUUCAUACCCCAGUUUGGCUCCUCCAUUGUUUCCAUUGUGGCCUCGUCAACCAUCUUAGAUUCGGGUGUAGGAGUUUGCAGCAUUUCCUUCACCUUAUCACUUACAAGACGACUCAUUUGAGCCCCACCUGUCUUCAACCGUUCCCCCCAUUGAGAUAGUUUCAACUUGUCCAUUUUAUUAAGUCCAAAACGCAAACUUCAAAAGCAAUAGCAAACCCUCAGCUCAGUAAUUCGCAAUCCAAGCUGCAACUAAGCCAACACAUGAGCGCCUUUAGUUUAAGAAGAGGAAAAACAGAGGAUUCAGCAGAAAACCGGUGUGAGCGAGGAGGAGAGAGGCAAUAGUCAAAGUCUAAGAUACGCG
Molecule: unclassified non-coding RNA, 558 nt
Filed under: Hevea brasiliensis (rubber tree)
Lineage: Eukaryota; Viridiplantae; Streptophyta; Magnoliopsida; Malpighiales; Euphorbiaceae
Source: RNAcentral